Molecule: ribosomal RNA, 467 nt
Filed under: uncultured bacterium
Lineage: Bacteria
Description: partial 16S ribosomal RNA
Rfam family: Bacterial small subunit ribosomal RNA
Source: RNAcentral
GACGAACGCUGGCGGCGUGCUUAACACAUGCAAGUCGAACGGAAGGCCCUGCUUUUGUGGGGUGCUCGAGUGGCGAACGGGUGAGUAACACGUGAGUAACCUGCCCUUGACUUUGGGAUAACUUCAGGAAACUGGGGCUACUACCGGAUAGGAGCUCCUGCUGCAUGGUGGGGGUUGGAAAGUUUCGGCGGUUGGGGAUGGACUCGCGGCUUAUCAGCUUGUUGGUGGGGUAGUGGCUUACCAAGGCUUUGACGGGUAGCCGGCCUGAGAGGGUGACCGGCCACAUUGGGACUGAGAUACGGCCCAGACUCCUACGGGAGGCAGCAGUGGGGAAUAUUGCACAAUGGGCGGAAGCCUGAUGCAGCAACGCCGCGUGCGGGAUGACGGCCUUCGGGUUGUAAACCGCUUUCGCCUGUGACGAAGCGUGAGUGACGGUAAUGGGUAAAGAAGCACCGGCUAACUACGUG